This 66-nucleotide small RNA is filed under the name Podarcis lilfordi (Lilford's wall lizard). The record is from RNAcentral. Lineage: Eukaryota; Metazoa; Chordata; Lepidosauria; Squamata; Lacertidae.
AUACGCUUCGGCAGCACAUAUACUAAAAUUGGAACGAUACAGAGAAGAUUAGCAUGCCCUGCGCAA